AGGGAUGUAGUUAAAUAUAACAUUUGAUUUGCAUUCAAAAAGUAUUGGUUCCAAUCUUCCUUA
RNAcentral lists this transfer RNA (63 nucleotides) under Acanthacorydalis fruhstorferi. Its description in RNAcentral is "tRNA-Ala". It matches the Rfam family "tRNA". Rfam says of the family: Transfer RNA (tRNA) molecules are approximately 80 nucleotides in length. Their secondary structure includes four short double-helical elements and three loops (D, anti-codon, and T loops). The record is from RNAcentral. Lineage: Eukaryota; Metazoa; Arthropoda; Insecta; Megaloptera; Corydalidae.